Apus apus (common swift) is the source of this 1001-nucleotide long non-coding RNA. RefSeq lists it as uncharacterized. The transcript is spliced from 2 exons. The record is from RefSeq and is a predicted model, not a curated record. Lineage: Eukaryota; Metazoa; Chordata; Aves; Apodiformes; Apodidae.
CAAAGGGGACACGUACACCCGCGGUUGUGGCUUCCCGGAUCCCUCCUCUCCCCCUGCUUGGGACUGCGGCUGUUCCAGAGAGCUGAGGGGCUCGGGGAGGGAGGUGAUGGUGGGAUCCUGCAUCUCCUCAGGACUGGGUCUUGCAGGGGCGUUGUGAGGAGCUGGGGAUCCCCAAAUUGUUCUGAAAGGCAGGCCAGGCUGCCCUAGCGAGGGACAGUAGAGGUAUGGUGGAGAAGAAGACAAGGUCUUUCUUCUUGCAUUGCCUCACCACGCUGGGGUGGGAGCCUGACUUUGGAGAGUUAGAGACCUCAGUGGCAGCCCCACUGCGUUGUGGCUGUGUUUGGUCUGGGGUACAAAGCCCUGGGGUGGUCGUUUUGAAGCCCUGUAGCUGGCAGAUCUUUGGGGAAGCACCUCCCCAAGCCCAUAAGUCACAUCACAAGUCUGGGCUCCUCGUGGUUCAGGCCUGGGUCAGAGCAGGCUGACCAAAAAUUCCCUGUGAAGGUCAAACACCUUCUGGCCUCUUCCAUUGCUCACGUCAGGUAUUUAUUUCCCUGCAGCACCCACACCUGUUGGAAGUUCUCCAUCCCUGUAGCAUUCCAAGCCCUGGGUGGAAGGCUUUGCCAGAGCUGGAGACCCCAUCCCCAAGAUGCAGAAGCGACUCUGGCUGUGAUGGAGCUCAGCACCACGGUGAUGGGAGCUGAGGACACCCCUGCAAUGAGAUGGUGAGGGGAGACGUGAGCAACGGGCAGAGCUGGCGCUUUCCUCCUCCAACCUUGCCCAAGGAACCCUGUGCUGGGGAGUGGCAUCACCUCUGCAGACACACCAUGGCCAGCCAAGCAGCUCCUGGAGUCCUGUGAUCACUGCCGAGUCUCUGCCUUCAUUUCAGGCCAGGAAGACUUCUGGAGCCAUCCUUGCUGGAGAGCACAGAGGGAAAAGUAAAUCUUUAAAGGCUCAAAACACAGGAAAUUAAUACAAAAAUAAAUAACCCCCAUAACAUUUAA